UGAAUUUUGAAUGGAAAAGUCUUGAUAAAGUGUUUGUGUAAAUCCUAUUUCUUGUAGGAUUAUGAGUGUUUUUAGUGUUCCUUUGGGAAAAGGUUUUGGAUCCUUCUCGGAUUGAUCUUGUGCACUCAUUGUGUAAAAGGGUUUCUGUUUAGAGUCCAACACUAAUUCUAAUAGGAGAAUGUGUUGGAUUAAUGCUGUAUAUAACCACAAUCACUGCUCUUGCAAAGAUACGGCUCAUAUUGUGUUGAAUACCUAUUGUUCAAAGAGCUCUUUAGUUUUGCUAAAGAGGAGAAGAUUGUCUGGUGGUGAAGCUGCUAUGGCUUCUUCAAGUUCAAGUUCUGCAGGUAUGUUUUGAUUGGUUUAAUGCUGAGAUUUAUGGUUAUGUUGUUCACAUUGUUUGUUGGUAGUAUUGGUGAUUUAUUGGCAUAUCUAUGAUCUGGGAUGAAGUUCUUACAUGUGGUAUCAGAGCCUGGAAAGAUUAUUGUCAUUAAGUUCGAAAUUUUGUACAACAAUUUGGACAAGAAACCAUAAUCUUAAAACCUAGAAACGCAUAACUUGUUUUUGAGCAUAACAGUAAAAAACGACACCGUUUAAAAAAAAAAAAAAAAUUUAUACCGUUAUGUUCACCGGGUUUGCGUCUUUUGCUUUGCCUUGCAUCUUUUCUUUUUCAUGGUCUCUGGGUACAUGGCGAUUCAAUGAAUGAUUCUGCUGAUUCUCUCUGAUUCUUCUCGAGUCAAUUUCAUUCAUUGAUUUCUCUAAACAGGUAUGUCUGCAAUUUUGAAACUUUAAUUUAGGUUAAAAAACUUAUUUGAACACCGUAUAUAUGCAAAUUUGUUAGCAUCUCGCCAAUUUGAAUCAAAAUUAUCUAAAUGGAUAAACUGAAGAAUUAUUUUAAUGUUUCCGCUGCUAAUUUGUUUGGGUUUAUUGAUUUUUUUUUAAUUUUCAAUGCAUGUGGUGUGAUAUUUGAAUAUCAUCCCUUUCGAGCAUGAUUCUUGAAUGCAAUCUUCUGUGAGUUGUUUACUCUAUAUAUGGUUGUCUUUAUCAAAGUUUGAGACCAUGUGUAUGACAAAAUUGACUCAUUAUGAGGAUUACAUAGUGAAAUAGAUGGAAAUCAUGAAUCCCGAAAAGAUUCAAUGUGAUGAUUUCAUUGUUAUCUUCUGCAGUUUCACUAAAAACAAUGAAUUUGGCUGCUGUACCUAUACUCACUGGUGGGAGCAAUUACAAAAAAUGGAGAAGGGAAAUGGAAUUGCUCUUGACAUUAAAUGAGUAUGAUAUAGCACUUGAUACACCACAACCUGCGCCUCUUACUGAUAAGAGUUCAAAGGCUGAGAAGGUUGAGUUCGAAAGAUGGACAAGAGCUAAUAAAGUGGCAUUAUCCAUUUUGGAGAGCGGGAUGACUGACACUGUUCGUGGAGGUAUCAAAAGGUGGGAUCUAGCAAAGGACUAUUUCAAAGCUAUUGAGAGCAAAUUCAAGGAAUCACAAAAGGCUGAGAUUGCUCAGUAUAUGACCCUUCUCACAACUUACAAAUUUGAAGGUGGUGGUUCAGUCAGAGAUCACAUUAUGAGGAUGACCGAUGCGGCUGAGAAGCUUAAUUCAUUAGACAUGAAUAUUUGUGAAAAGCAGCUAGUGUUCAUGAUUCUGCAAGCACUUCCUUUGAAGUUCAGUCAAUUAAAAGUCUCUUACAACACUCAAGAUAAGUCAUGGACAGUGGAUGAACUGAUAUCUCAAUGUGUUCAAGAGGAAAAUCGACAGAAGCAAGACAAAGGAAAGGAAGCUGAGACCAUCAAUUUUGUGCAGACUUCUAAAAGGAAGGAUCUCAAUGCAUAUUCUGGUAAAUCUCCUCAAUUCAAACAUCCUGAUAAAUCUUUUGUGUCUGCUAAGAAUUCCCAUUCCUCUAAAUCUAACAAUCUUAAAGUUAAAGCUAAAAACAUUGAAAAGGUUAGGUGUCAUCAUUGCAAAACUAAAGGUCAUUAUAGAAAAGAUUGUGAAAUAUUCAAAGAAUGGCUUAGGGCUAAAGGUAGAACUAAUGUAUAUGUCUGUGAGGAAUCAAAUCUCAUUGAAAUUCCGGCAAAUUCCUGGUGGUUUGAUACUGGUGCAUCUGUGCAUAUAACCAAUUCACUGCAUGGUUUUGAAAAACAAAAACAAACAAAUGAUUAUAACGUUUUUGUUGGUGAAGGAACCAGAGUUGUAGUUGAAUCGAUAGGGAAAGUGAAACUAAAAUUGGCUUCUGAAUUUGUGUUGGAACUGUCCAAUGUUUUAUAUGUGCCUGCAAUGAGAAGAAGUUUAAUCUCUGCAUCUAAGUUAGUAGCUGAAGGUGUUAUUUUCAUAGGUGAUAAAGAAUGCAUAAAAUUUUUUCAUAGGGGAGCCUUGAUAGGAAAAGCAGUUUUGCAUGAUCAGUUAUGGAAAAUGCAGUGCACAUUGUUGGACAAUGAGUUAAGUGUUUUAAAUACGACUGCCAAAAGAAUGCAAAAUUUUGACAACUCUUAUAUGUUGUGGCAUAAAAGACUAGGACAUAUUUCGAAGGAAAGGAUCAUGCAAUUAUCAAAAUUAAAUUUCAUACCUGCUUUAGAUUUUCAUAAUGCAUCUGAAUGCAUUGACUGUAUGAAGGGUAAAACCACCAACUUUAGGAAAAUGGAUGCCAAUAGAAGUAAAAAUUUGCUUGAGAUUAUACACACCGAUGUUUGUGGACCUUUUCCUAUCAAAACUAUUUGUGGAAAUUCAUACUUUGUGAGUUUUAUAAAUGAUUUUUCCAGACAUGGUUACAUAUUUCUAAUAAAAGAAAAGUCAGCAGUCCUUGAGUGUUUCAAAAUUUUUAAAUGUGAGGUAGAAAAACAACUAAACCUAGUGAUUAAGAUUGUUAGAUCAGAUAGAGGAGGGGAAUACUUUGGCAGGCACACAGAAGCAGGACAACAAAAGGGUCAUUUUGCACGGUCUUGAGCAGCAAGGUAUUGUGGCCCAGUAUACUACUCCAGGCACACCCCAACAGAAUGGAGUGGCUGAGAGAAGAAAUCGAACCCUGAUAGGAAUGGUUAGAAGUCUAAUUUCAAGAUCAAAGUUGCCUGGUUUUCUGUGGGGAGAAGCAUUGAGGACAUCUAACUAUGUGUUGAAUCGAGUGCCUACAAAAUCAGUGCCUAAAACACCCUUUGAGUUAUGGACUGGCAGAAUACCGAGUUUUAAUCAUUUCCAUGUGUGGGGUUGCAAAGCAGAAGCAAGGUUUUACAAUCCAAAUGAGAGGAAGCUCGACUCUAGAACCAGUUCAUGCUAUUUUGUGGGAUAUUUAGAGAAAUCUAAGGGCUUUAAAUUUUAUUGUUCUCAAUCACAUACAAGAAUCCAAGAGACUCAUAAUGCAAUUUUCUUAGAAGAUCAAGAUAUAUCAGACUUGGUUCAUGAUACCUUUGAGUUUGAAGAGUCAGAACAUCUCGAUGGUUCAAUUCCAAUGGACUACAAUCAUAUCUCGGUGUUGCCUAGAACUCACAUAGAGAAAGAUGAUCUUGAUGAGGAAAUGGCACAAGAAAUGGAUGCUGAAAUACAAAAUGAACAUGAGAAUGCUCCUUGUACACGAGAUCUGUCCUCAAAUGCUCAAAAUUCUCAAGUUGAGGGAAAUACCUGUCAUGAGAAUGAACAAUUGAAUCUGAGGAAGUCCAGCAGAGUCAAGAAAUCAGCUAUUUUGGCUGACUAUGUCUAUCUCCAAGAAGCAGAAUUUGAUAUAGGUGACAUAGAUGAUCCAGUUACCUAUCAACAAGCAAUUCAAUGUCCUCAUGUUGCAUUAUGGAAGAAAGCAAUGGAGGAAGAGUUGGAUUCCAUGUCCAAGAAUAAAGUCUGGACCCUUGUGAACUCUAUUUCAAAUGUCAAACCAAUAGGUUGCAAGUGGGUUUACAAAACUAAAAGGGAUGAUGUCGGGAGAAUAGAGAGAUAUAAGGCUCGAUUAGUAGCCAAGGGCUUCACUCAGAGAGAGGGGAUUGAUUACAAUGACACGUUCUCACCAGUUUCUUCCAAAGACUCUAUGAGGAUCAUCAUGGCUUUAACAUCUCAUUUUGAUCUGGAAUUACACCAGAUGGAUGUUAAAACCGCCUUUUUGAAUGGCGAUCUGCAGGAAGACAUAUAUAUGGUGCAACCUUCCGGAUUUGUUGAAAGGGGGAAAGAGCAUAUGGUCUGCAAACUGAAUAAGUCGAUUUAUGGGCUUAAACAGGCAUCUAGGCAGUGGUUUCUCAAGUUUGAUCAGGUAGUGACCGCUCAUGGUUUUGUUGACAACAAGAUGGAUGAUUGCAUCUAUUUAAAACACAAAGGAUCAAAGUUCAUUUUUCUGGUUUUGUAUGUUGAUGACAUUCUGCUUGCAAGUUCUAACAUACAACUGCUUAAAGAAACCAAGGCUAUUUUAAGCACAAAUUUUGAAAUGAAAGAUUUAGGGGAAGCACAUUAUGUUCUGGGGAUUGAAAUAACAAGAGACAGAAAGAGAAAGCUUCUGGGAUUAUCUCAAAAGGGAUACAUUGAAAGGGUGCUGAACCGAUUCAAUAUGGAGAAAUGCAAUAAGGCAGAUGUUCCAGUUAACAAAGGUGACAAGUUUUCUAAAGAUCAAUGUCCUAAGAAUGAGAAUGAGAUCGAGUUGAUGAAGAUGAAGCCUUAUGCAUCAUUAGUUGGAAGCAUCAUGUAUGCUAACAUUUGUACAAGGCCUGACUUAGCAUUCAUUGUUGGAGUAUUAGGCAGGUUUCAAUCAAAUCCAGGAGAAUCUCAUUGGGUGGCUGCGAAGAAAGUAUUGAGAUAUAUGCAGAAAACAAAAGCUUAUCAGUUAGUUUAUGGCAGAGAUGAUGAUUUGGAGUUGAUUGGAUUUACAGAUUCAGAUCUUGCUGGGGAUAUAGAUGAGAGAAAAUCGACUGGAGGUUAUAUCUUUAUGUUAAAUGAGGGUGCUCCUGGAAGAGUGCUAAGCAAACAAUUGUGUCUACUUCAACAAUGGAGGCUGAAUUUGUUGCAUGUUUUGAAGGGAUGAAACAGGCAGUAUGGUUAAGAAAUUUUGUUGCUGAGAUGAAAAUUGUUAACUCGGUUAAAAGGCCUUUGAAGAUGUUCUGUGACAACAAUGCUGCUGUGUUUUUCUCCAAGAACAAUAAGAGAACUUCGGCUUCAAGACUAAUGGAUGUGAAGUUUCUUAAAGUUAGAGAAAUGGUGAAGAAAGGAGAGAUAGAAAUUCUACAUUUAUCUACAGAGAAGAUGAUUGCAGAUCCUCUUACUAAAGCUUUGCCAAACAGUGUGUUUAAAGCACAUGUUACUAGAAUGGGAAUUUUAGAAGCUUUUGACAAGUGGGAGUGAUUGUGACCAGAUUUGAGAUGGUUUUGGAACUGCAGUGUUGCUUAUGUUACUGCGGUAGGAGAUUUCCUGAGUUAAGUUAGAUGGCAUACUAAUAUCUUGUCUUAGUUAGUAUUUCGCUUUGUUUUUUAUUUAUAUGAAUUCAAUUUUUCCGUAUUGUGAUUAAUUGAUUCAGAUAGUUAGCAUUGCAAUAAAAUAGUUUGAGUUUGCUAGUAAAUCAGUUUGUGAUUUUACUGAAGUAUACUUUGGAACUGUUUAGUAUAUUGUUCUGUUAUGGAUGUUUGUCAUUUAAGCUGAAAUUUUAACUGUGAUUGAGUUGAAAUUGGUUUAAAUGAGUGUGAGUAAUGAAUUUUGGCAUUACUGAGAUUGUUUGCGUAUAACUACAAAAUGCAAAAUUGGAUAUGUUGUAAUUCUUGGAUAAAGUCUGAGAUUGUACAGAUAGAGUCCUGGAGUUCCAUAUUUUGAUAUGCAUAGGUAAUGUUGUAUACGAAGUUAGAAGCUUUAUUCUGGACUUAGUGAUCACUUCCAUGAUUCAUUUAGUUAAUCAUUGUGUCUUUAUACUCAAGUGGGAGAAUGUUGGAAUAUGAGUAUAAAAACAUGAUUGUGGAUUAGCUAUUAUAUUGAAUGAAUUUUGAAUGGAAAAGUCUUGAUAAAGUGUUUGUGUAAAUCCUAUUUCUUGUAGGAUUAUGAGUGUUUUUAGUGUUCCUUUGGGAAAAGGUUUUGGAUCCUUCUCGGAUUGAUCUUGUGCACUCAUUGUGUAAAAGGGUUUCUGUUUUAGAGUCCAACACUAAUUCUAAUAGGAGAAUGUGUUGGAUUAAUGCUGUAUAUAACCACAAUCACUGCUCUUGCAAAGAUACGGCUCAUAUUGUGUUGAAUACCUAUUGUUCAAAGAGCUCUCUAGUUUUGCUAAAGAGGAGAAGAUUGUCUGGUGGUGAAGCUGCUAUGGCUUCUUCAAGUUCAAGUUCUGCAGGUAUGUUUUGAUUGGUUUAAUGCUGAGAUUUAUGGUUAUGUUGUUCACAUUGUUUGUUGGUAGUAUUGGUGAUUUAUUGGCAUAUCUAUGAUCUGGGAUGAAGUUCUUACAG
Molecule: long non-coding RNA, 6381 nt
Filed under: Malus domestica (apple)
Lineage: Eukaryota; Viridiplantae; Streptophyta; Magnoliopsida; Rosales; Rosaceae
Description: long non-coding RNA (MDOM_LNC017147)
Source: RNAcentral